GCCGCCGUCUCUGUGGUAGCCGGGGCCCCGCCCCUCCUCGGACUCUGACCAGUACUGAACUCGCGGCUGCAAGGCUCCAGAGUCCCUCGGGUCUCAGGUCAUGGCGGUCCCGGGGCCUGCGCCCGGAGCUGGCGCCAGACCCAGGUUAGAUCUGCAGUUUCUCCAGCGGUUCCUGCAGAUACUGAAGGUUUUGUUUCCUUCUUGGUCAUCACAGAAUACCUUAAUGUUCCUGACCCUUUUGUGCCUGACCCUACUGGAGCAAUUGGUGAUCUACCAGGUUGGCUUGAUCCCCAGUCAGUACUAUGGGGUCCUGGGAAACAAAGACUUGGAAGGGUUUAAGACUCUGACAAUCCUGGCUGUCAUGCUCAUUGUUCUGAACUCCACGCUGAAGAGCUUUGAUCAGUUCACCUGCAACCUGCUGUAUGUGAGCUGGAGGAAGGACCUCACUGAGCACCUCCACUGCCUCUACUUCCGGGGCCGUGUGUACUACACCCUCAACGUGCUGCGGGAUGACAUCGAUAACCCGGACCAGCGCAUCAGCCAGGAUGUGGAGCGAUUCUGCCGGCAGCUCAGCAGCAUGGCCAGCAAGCUGAUCAUCUCCCCAUUCACCCUCGUCUACUACACUUACCAGUGCUUCCAAAGCACAGGCUGGCUCGGGCCUGUGAGCAUCUUUGGGUAUUUCAUCCUGGGGACUGUGGUGAACAAAACUUUGAUGGGCCCCAUUGUGACGAAGCUGGUGCAUCAGGAGAAGCUGGAGGGAGAUUUUAGGUUCAAGCACAUGCAGAUUCGGGUGAAUGCGGAGCCUGCUGCUUUCUACAGAGCUGGGCAUGUGGAGCACAUGAGGACAGACCGCAGGCUGCAGAGACUCCUUCAGACCCAGAGGGAGCUGAUGUCCAAGGAGCUCUGGCUGUACAUUGGCAUCAACACCUUUGACUAUCUGGGCAGCAUCCUGAGUUACGUUGUCAUCGCAAUCCCCAUUUUCAGCGGGGUCUAUGGAGACCUGAGUCCCGCAGAGCUUAGCACCCUGGUCAGCAAGGUGAGACUCCCUCUUGGUGACACCUCAUGCUGUCCCUCUCUGUCCUUGGCUCAGUGUCUGUGGGCUGGAGUCAGGACCCGCUUGACCUCUGCCCAUCCUGCCCAGAAUGCCUUUGUGUGCAUCUACCUCAUCAGCUGCUUCACCCAGCUCAUCGACCUGUCCACAACGCUCUCGGAUGUGGCUGGCUACACGCACAGAAUUGGGCAGCUUCAGGAGACGCUGUUGGACAUGUCCCUGAAGUUGCAGGACUGCGAGAUGCUGGGCGAGAGCGAGUGGGGCUUGGACACAGCCCCAGGGUGGCCAGUGGCAGAACCAGCAGACACAGCGUUUCUCCUUGAGCGGGUCUCCAUCUCUGCCCCUUCCUCUGACAAACCCCUAAUCAAGGAUCUGAGCCUAAAGAUCUCCGAGGGACAGAGCCUGCUCAUCACAGGCAACACGGGCACUGGCAAGACCUCCUUGCUUCGGGUUCUGGGCGGCCUCUGGACGAGUACACGGGGCUCAGUGCAGAUGCUGACGGACUUUGGGCCCCAUGGGGUGCUAUUCCUGCCACAAAAGCCGUUCUUCACUGACGGGACCCUUCGGGAGCAGGUGAUAUAUCCCCUGAAGGAGGUCUACCCCGACUCAGGUGAGCUGGUCCUCCUUAGGUCAUGUCCUUUCCUUCUGUCGCGGUUGUCCCUGCUCUACCUGACUGUGGCCUCACCUGUGCCCUUUGGGAGAGGCUCCAGCUAGGCCGCUGAUUCAAGGAAGAGUAGCUCCUCUCCUCUUCCUUUGACUGUUUUGGGGUCUGCACCCAGAUCUCACCUCAUUCUGUCUUUCUGUCCUUAAGGAGAGACGCCCACUGGGACAAGGAAAGUGAUGCCUUCCUUCACCCACCCCUUCCCUUAUCAAGGGCUGCAACCUGUGGUUUCAAAGCCUUCGCCCAGCAUUCUGAGGCCCCCACCCCUGCCAUCAUCCAUGGUGUGCCCUGUCUAUUCUUUUUUUUUUUUUUGAGAUGGAGUUUCACUCUGUCAUCCAGACUGGAGUGCAGUGGUGUGAUCUCGGCUCACUGCAACCUCCACCUCCCAGGUUCAAGUAAUUCCCCUGCCUCAGCGUCUUAAGUAGCUGGGACUACAGGUGCAUGCCACCACACCUGCCUAAUUUUUGUAUAUUUAGUAGAGACAGGGUUUCACCGUGUUGGCCAGGGUGGUCUCUAUCUCCUGACCUUGUGAUCCACCCGCCUCGGUCUCCCAAAAUGCUGGGAUUACAGGCGUGAGCCACUGUGCCCAGCUUUGCCCUGUCUAUUUUGACCAGCCAGGAGGCUCUGGCUUUUUGCAGAAGGCUUCUCUGUUGUGCAGGUUCUGCUGAUGAUGAGAGGAUCUUGAGGUUCUUGGAAUUGGCAGGCCUGGUAUGAUGUUCUGUCCCCGGGAGAGAUGCAACGGCUCUCCUUUGCCCGACUCUUCUACCUGCAGCCGAAGUACGCAGUGCUUGAUGAAGCCACCAGUG
Symphalangus syndactylus (siamang) is the source of this 2518-nucleotide RNA transcript. It is a transcript of the gene named ATP binding cassette subfamily D member 4, with no coding region annotated. NCBI's taxonomy places the organism in Eukaryota, Metazoa, Chordata, Mammalia, Primates, Hylobatidae. The record is from RefSeq and is a predicted model, not a curated record.